CACCAGGCUACCCUGCCACCCCAACGCUCUAACCACCAGGCUACCUGCCGCCCCAACGCUCUAACCACUAGGCUACCCUGCCACCCCAACGCUCUAACCACUAGGCUACCCUGCCACCCCAACGCUCUAACCACUAGGCUACCUGCCGCCCCAACGCUCUAACCACUAGGCUACCCUGCCGCCUCUACACUCUAACCACUAGGCUACCCUGCCGCCCCAACGCUCUAACCACUAGGCUACCCUGCCGCCCCAACGCUCUAACCACCAGGCUACCCUGCCACCCCAACGCUCUAACCACCAGGCUACCCUGCCGCCCCAACGCUCUAACCACCAGGCUACCCUGCCACCCUGCAUGUUUAAUUUGUAUUUUUGCCUUUAUGAUGAUGAUCGGGACCUGUUAACGGUUUAAUUUAGUAAAAAAUAAAAUAAAACAGUUUUCGGUUAGACAUGUUUUCUAAACAUUAAUGAUCCCAAAUGCGUUUAAAUGUUCAAAUGUCUCAACCUUAGUUAGGGGGCCCCCCUAGAUUUGACUCCAAAUCC
Molecule: long non-coding RNA, 540 nt
Organism: Oncorhynchus tshawytscha (Chinook salmon)
Lineage: Eukaryota; Metazoa; Chordata; Actinopteri; Salmoniformes; Salmonidae
Source: Ensembl